RNAcentral lists this ribosomal RNA (497 nucleotides) under uncultured bacterium. RNAcentral's name for it is "partial 16S ribosomal RNA". It matches the Rfam family "Bacterial small subunit ribosomal RNA", at positions 28 to 507 of the family's 1533-position model. The record is from RNAcentral.
GAUGAACGCUGGCGGCGUACCUAAUACAUGCAAGUCGAGCGAACAGACGAGGAGCUUGCUCCUCUGACGUUAGCGGCGGACGGGUGAGUAACACGUGGAUAACCUACCUAUAAGACUGGGAUAACUUCGGGAAACCGGAGCUAAUACCGGAUAAUAUAUUGAACCGCAUGGUUCAAUAGUGAAAGACGGUUUUGCUGUCACUUAUAGAUGGAUCCGCGCCGCAUUAGCUAGUUGGUAAGGUAACGGCUUACCAAGGCGACGAUGCGUUGCCGACCUGAGAGGGUGAUCGGCCACACUGGAACUGAGACACGGUCCAGACUCCUACGGGAGGCAGCAGUAGGAAAUCUUCCGCAAUGGGCGAAAGCCUGACGGAGCAACGCCGCGUGAGUGAUGAAGGUCUUCGGAUCGUAAAACUCUGUUAUUAGGGAAGAACAAAUGUGUAAGUAACUAUGCACGUCUUGACGGUACCUAAUCAGAAAGCCACGGCUAACUACGUG